This 560-nucleotide long non-coding RNA is filed under the name Medicago truncatula (barrel medic). RNAcentral describes it as "long non-coding RNA (MTRU_LNC003789)". The record is from RNAcentral. Lineage: Eukaryota; Viridiplantae; Streptophyta; Magnoliopsida; Fabales; Fabaceae.
AGGUGAACUAUGUAAAUCCUACAGCUCCACCAAGUCCUAUAGUAACACCACCUUCUCCAGUGAAGGCACCACCAACACCACCUUUAGUUAAAUCACCACCUAUUGUGAAAGCACCUUCUCCACCAUUGGUGAAAACACCACCAUAUCAAUCACCACCAGUGAAACCAACACCACCUAUUGUGAAAUCACCUCCUUCUCCACCAUUGGUAAAAUCACCACCUUAUCAAUCACCACCUAUUGUUAAGGCACCUUCUCCCCCUCUAGUGAAACCAACUCCACCUAUUGUGAAAUCACCUCCUUCUCCUCCUUUGGUGAAAACACCACCUUAUCAAUCACCACCUAUAGUGAAGGCACCACCAACUCCUCCACCUAUUGUGAAAACACCUCCUUAUCAAUCACCACCAAUAGUUAAACCACCAGUUGCUCCAUCUCCACCACCUACUCCAAUAGUCAAAUCAUGGAAGGGUAAGUCAAUUUCCAUUUACAUGUCUUUAAUAUGUAACAUUUUAAUAACACAUAAGACUAUGUUCAUGUUUCUAAAUUGUGGUCUCAAUAUAAUA